Molecule: unclassified non-coding RNA, 264 nt
Filed under: uncultured Nectriaceae
Lineage: Eukaryota; Fungi; Ascomycota; Sordariomycetes; Hypocreales; Nectriaceae
Description: sequence contains 5.8S rRNA gene
Rfam family: 5.8S ribosomal RNA (bases 1-53)
Source: RNAcentral
GAACGCACAUUGCGCCCGCCAGUAUUCUGGCGGGCAUGCCUGUUCGAGCGUCAUUUCAACCCUCAAGCCCAGCUUGGUGUUGGGGAUCGGCACAGGCGCCCUCGGGCGCCCGCCGUCCCCUAAAUCUAGUGGCGGUCCCGCUGCAGCCUCCUCUGCGUAGUAGUUUUUUCCUCGCAAGGGCAGCUCGGUGGCGACCUCGCCGUAAAACCCCCAACUUCUGAAAGGUUGACCUCGAAUCAGGUAGGAAUACCCGCUGAACUUAAG